This 71-nucleotide transfer RNA is filed under the name Stegodyphus mimosarum. It matches the Rfam family "tRNA". From Rfam's summary of the family: Transfer RNA (tRNA) molecules are approximately 80 nucleotides in length. Their secondary structure includes four short double-helical elements and three loops (D, anti-codon, and T loops). The record is from Rfam by way of RNAcentral. Lineage: Eukaryota; Metazoa; Arthropoda; Arachnida; Araneae; Eresidae.
GUUUUCGUGGUGUAACGGUAUAACACUCGGGUCAUAUUCGAGAGGUCCAGGUUCGAGUCCCGGCGAGGAUA